UACAGAGGUCUCAAGCGUUGUUCGGAUUCAUUGGGCGUAAAGGGUGCGUAGGCGGCGCGGUAAGUCGGGUGUGAAAUCUCGGAGCUUAACUCCGAAACUGCAUUCGAUACUGCCGUGCUUGAGGACUGGAGAGGAGACUGGAAUUUACGGUGUAGCGGUGAAAUGCGUAGAUAUCGGGAGGAACACCAGUAGCGAAGGCGGCACUCUGGGCCGGUACUGACGCUGAGGAGGCGAAAAGCGUGGGAGCAACAGG
RNAcentral lists this ribosomal RNA (253 nucleotides) under uncultured bacterium. Its description in RNAcentral is "partial 16S ribosomal RNA". It matches the Rfam family "Bacterial small subunit ribosomal RNA", at positions 524 to 775 of the family's 1533-position model. The record is from RNAcentral.